Long non-coding RNA from Equus asinus (donkey), 1614 nucleotides. Lineage: Eukaryota; Metazoa; Chordata; Mammalia; Perissodactyla; Equidae. The record is from Ensembl.
GGUGAAACGGGACCUGAUGGAGGAGACAAAGGACACCCAUACACCGCAUCUGGGGAGAUGAUUCCAGAGAGCCCUGAGAGGCAAAGCUUCUACUUACCCACAGGGUGCUACAUCAGGUGUCCUUCAUUCUGAAUGCACAGGAGAGUCACCUGGGGAGGAUUUUCAGACGCCAGGGCCCUACUCUGACCAACAAAAUCAGAUUUAGGAAGAGGCCGGAGUAUCAGGAAUUUUAAAAAGCUCCUGAGGGGAGCCCAGUGAGUAGCCAGGGUUGAGAACCACUUUGCUAGAGGAAGCUGAUCUGAGAAACAAGCGGAGGUGACGGUGGGGAAGAAGGAGCUUGAAUCUCUCCCUGGUCUACCAGCAGGUUUGGGGAACAGGGGCCUGGACCUGCAGGCAGACAUUUUGCCACCACCUGAAGCAGGGGAUAAACCCAACAUGGAAGACUGUGGAGCUGAGAUACGGAGAAGAGACAAAUCUUGAUGACAUGAUUUGAGACAUUCCUGAAGGCGAAAAGAACUUUCUUAUUAAAAGGAAGAAUUUCAUGUUAAGGUGCUGCGGCUUACAUAACGAUUUUGGAUUGGGAGAUACGCUAGAAAAUAGUUCCAUUGCAGAGGAUGGUAAACAUCCGCCCGAGAGAAGAGAUGAUUCAUUUCGUGGGAGCAGUGCCAAGGGUGUGUGCUUAGAGUCCAGUUUUUCCAGACGAACAUCAUGUUGUAAAAGUCCUAGGGCUUCAGCCUCCGCUCAGGGACAUUUAUUGCUGGAGUUUUCUCAGAAAACUGUCUUCUUUCCAUUGCCACCGCCUCAAAGAAACUUAAAGGGGAGACGCUGCUCCGUGUGGUUUCCUUUUUUGUAACCCUUUUUUUUAAGGGAAGAUCAGACUCCAAGUGACUGUAGUAGCCUUGCGAUUUUUAUUCUGUUUAUUUAUUUAAUAAACUUUCCAGUAUAUUUUCAUGUGCCUAUUAUUCUGGGCCUUAUUGCCCUCUCUGUCCCCCAAGUUUGUUUGGAAUUUACUCUUCCAUUUCUGCCCUUGGUAGAAUAGGUAGAAAAAGGCUAUGAAAUUACGUACAAGGAAAGACAUAUGCCCAACUCACGACUGGGAAUUUUAACCGACUACACACAUAUAAACUAAGGUGCAUGAUAAUAUAUAAGAAAGGAUGAUCGAUAUUGCAUAGAGACAAACACUUUAGGUACCCAAGACGUGGUUCAUGUUUCCCACUUGGAUCUCCUGCAUCCGUUCAUUCAUUGAUUCGUUCAUUCGUGACCUAUUGUAAGUAAGUAAGACCAGCAUGGUCCCCGCCUUCACAGAGCUCUUGGAUGCUGACUAUGUAGACCUACCCUCCACUGAGGAAGUGAUGAUGCGUUAUCCAGAUGAAAGGGUGGGGAUGGAGGUGAGGGCAGAGCAAAGGACAGUAAAAUGCAGGGGGAGCUCUCCAGGCAGAGGGAAGACCAUAGGCAAAGGCGCUGGGAUGGGAGGCAGGAUGUAUGUGUGAGGGGCUGGAGGGCCAGCAGGUGGGAGGGGGUGCUAUUAGACAUGGCUGGAGUGGGCAGGGACCCACGCAUGCUGGCCGUGGUGGGAUUUGGAGUUUUAUCCUAAGAGCAAAGGGAAUUUGCUGA